This 222-nucleotide ribosomal RNA is filed under the name Triticum aestivum (bread wheat). RNAcentral's name for it is "partial small subunit ribosomal RNA". The record is from RNAcentral. Lineage: Eukaryota; Viridiplantae; Streptophyta; Magnoliopsida; Poales; Poaceae.
AUGAGUCUGUUAUGUUGGAACUGCCGGGGGGAGGACCGCCGGACAGUUCGUGAGGUUUUGGCCCUCUCAAAAGCCAAUUCCCCGGGGCUCAUAUUCUUAUCUGAAACCAGACAAGCCUCAAAUAAAAUGGAGCGACUCAAGUGGAGAUUACAGAUGAAGGGUUUUGUGGGGGUGUCGAGCCAAGGUCUGAGUGGAGGGCUUGCCCUUUUCUGGGACGAAAGU